Molecule: non-coding RNA, 823 nt
Organism: Salvelinus sp. IW2-2015
Lineage: Eukaryota; Metazoa; Chordata; Actinopteri; Salmoniformes; Salmonidae
Source: RefSeq, a predicted model, not a curated record
AGCAUUAGUGCCAUGGAGGAUUGUGCAGGCCGGCAGGUUGCUACAGUUUCCUAGUAGCAUGUARGCUUUAGGGAUCAGAUCUGGCUGACUUUUUCACCUGAACUGCUCAUUGGCUGUCCAUAAUGAGCCCAGCAAGCAGGAUGUGUAGCUGGGCUCUGCAAUAACUAGCUCCCAGAGCAAUUACAAAUAACUAUUCUUGUUUUAAUAGCGUCAUUACAACUAGCAACAUGACAUUCAGUCACCUCAGUAGAAACGCUAUGUGUUGGAUUCGUCCAUGUCUUGCUAAAUMACCUAGCUACCAUAACAGCUGUGGAGAAUUUAUACCCCAGUUUUYAGGGAUCUCUCUGAAGGUUUUAGAUGAUACAGUGGUGCUUCGUCCUCUGGAUGAAGAAUCAUACAUCUCGGCUUGGCUUCAUUGCAUUAUUAUUUGGGAAACGUUGACAUGCCAUUUGUGUUGACGGAUGGAUGAAAAUAAUGUAAUUAUAGUAUCUUUAUACAUAGGCUAGCAGGAAAAUCCGCAUGAGAUACCCAUAGAACUGAGCCCUGCUCCAUUUCAGCACCAUGCCGCGGUCUCAGGUGCUGCCCAGACUCGAAACAUUUCAGCACCAUGGCACGGUCCCCUGACGCCUAGAAACAACGUGAAUUCGGAGGAUCAACCGGAUGACCAAAAUAAAGUUGUGGAGAAUAUGAAGGAUGAAACAGAGACACAUGAGACCAACAAGAACAGGACAGGAGGCAAGGCUAAACGUAAGUCCAGUGGCCGUGCCAAGAAGACUUCCGUGGAGGAGGACAGCAGCAUUGGUGCAGGUCCGAGAUUACUUCA